GGGGAAUCUUCCGCAAUGGGCGCAAGCCUGACGGAGCAAGACCGCGUGGGGGAUGAAGGUUUGUGGAUUGUAAACCCCUUUUGUCAGGGAAGAACACAAUGACGGUACCUGACGAAUCAGCAUCGGCUAACUCCGUGCCAGCAGCCGCGGUAAUACGGAGGAUGCAAGCGUUAUCCGGAAUUAUUGGGCGUAAAGCGUCCGCAGGUGGUUUAUCAAGUCUGCUGUCAAAGCGCGAGGCUUAACUUCGUAAAGGCAGUGGAAACUGAUGGACUAGAGUGCGGUAGGGGCAGAGGGAAUUCCCAGUGUAGCGGUGAAAUGCGUAGAUAUUGGGAAGAACACCGGUGGCGAAAGCGCUCUGCUGGACCUGCACUGACACUGAGGGACGAAAGCUAGGGGAGCGAAUGGGAUUAGAUACCCCAG
RNAcentral lists this ribosomal RNA (420 nucleotides) under uncultured cyanobacterium. RNAcentral describes it as "bacterial SSU rRNA". It matches the Rfam family "Bacterial small subunit ribosomal RNA", at positions 356 to 790 of the family's 1533-position model. The record is from RNAcentral. Lineage: Bacteria; Bacillati; Cyanobacteriota.